This 207-nucleotide ribosomal RNA is filed under the name uncultured bacterium. Its description in RNAcentral is "partial 16S ribosomal RNA". It matches the Rfam family "Bacterial small subunit ribosomal RNA", at positions 568 to 774 of the family's 1533-position model. The record is from RNAcentral.
UACGCAGGCGGACUUGUAGGUAUCUUGUGAAAUCCCACGGCUCAACCGUGGAACUGCAGGGUAAACCACAAGUCUUGAGACAAGUAGGGGUCAGUGGAACGAUAUGUGGAGCGGUGAAAUGCGUAGAUAUAUAUCGGAACGCCAAUGGCGAAGGCAGCUGACUGGGCUUGUUCUGACGCUCAGGUACGAAAGCGUGGGUAGCGAACG